Molecule: ribosomal RNA, 491 nt
Filed under: uncultured Bacillus sp.
Lineage: Bacteria; Bacillati; Bacillota; Bacilli; Caryophanales; Bacillaceae
Description: bacterial SSU rRNA
Rfam family: Bacterial small subunit ribosomal RNA
Source: RNAcentral
GUGGGUAACCUGCCCAUAAGACUGGGAUAACUCCGGGAAACCGGGGCUAAUACCGGAUAAUAUUUUGAACUGCAUGGUUCGAAAUUGAAAGGCGGCUUCGGCUGUCACUUAUGGAUGGACCCGCGUCGCAUUAGCUAGUUGGUGAGGUAACGGCUCACCAAGGCAACGAUGCGUAGCCGACCUGAGAGGGUGAUCGGCCACACUGGGACUGAGACACGGCCCAGACUCCUACGGGAGGCAGCAGUAGGGAAUCUUCCGCAAUGGACGAAAGUCUGACGGAGCAACGCCGCGUGAGUGAUGAAGGCUUUCGGGUCGUAAAACUCUGUUGUUAGGGAAGAACAAGUGCUAGUUGAAUAAGCUGGCACCUUGACGGUACCUAACCAGAAAGCCACGGCUAACUACGUGCCAGCAGCCGCGGUAAUACGUAGGUGGCAAGCGUUAUCCGGAAUUAUUGGGCGUAAAGCGCGCGCAGGUGGUUUCUUAAGUCUGAU